Molecule: long non-coding RNA, 3131 nt
Filed under: Gallus gallus (chicken)
Lineage: Eukaryota; Metazoa; Chordata; Aves; Galliformes; Phasianidae
Source: RNAcentral
GAGGUGAACGAGGAGCUUUUGUUGGCGCUGAGGCGCCGGCACCGCUGCCCGGAGCUGUGGGUGCCCCAGCCCUGGAGGUGCCGAAGGGCAGUAGGGGGGCCGUGGCAGCCCGGGCCGGGUCGUGCCGUGGGCAGAGGGGCAGCUCUCGGCGCAGCUCCCCGGGGCCGCCUUCCGCCCCCCGCGCCGAGGGGGAACCUUUCUGCGCCCCGCGGAACCUUUGCGGCGGAGGCGCCUGUUGCUGCCCGGGGGAGCGCGCGGCCGGACGCUGUGCGAUGCGGCUCCCGAGCGGCGGCUGAGCGCCGAGGCCGGCACGGAGGCAGGCGGGCGGGCGGCUGCCAGCUCCAGGGCCCCGCCGCGGCCCGCGGCCCCCCCCGGCCCGCCCCCCCCGCCGAGGUGAGAGCCGUCGCCGCGCUGGGAGCGGGCCGGAAGGCCGCGGGGUGGGGGGGGUGUGUGUGUGCUGGGGGUGGGGGGGGUCGGACCGGCGGAGAGCCGCCCGCCCCGCCCCGCCCCGGGGGCGGCGGGGAGCGGGGCCGAGGCCGCAGCUCCCACCCGCGGCCGGGUUGGCGCGGCUCUCCCCCGGCAGCAUCCCCCGGGGCGCGGCGCCGGUCGGGGCCUAAGAGGGGGUGGGGCCUCGGGGAGCCCCCGGGAGGCCGCGGCCGCCCCCCGUGCUGCGAGCGGGGCUGCGCGCUGUCCGAGGAGCGGUGCCCGCGGGGCCGUACCCGGGGCGCGGCCGUAACGGUGCUGCUGCGGUGCGCGCUGGGGAGCUCCGGAGGGGAGGGCCCGGCUCGUUCUGGGCCGGCUCCCUCGCUUCCUCCAUUGAACCGCCUCGGGAUCGCUCCUCCUGCUUGUGGUCUGAGUGCUCCCGGCCGUGGCACCGGGCACGUUCUCCCCCCGUGUCUGCUCCUCCAUCCGUCUGUACGAAACGAGGGCUUCCGAAGUUCUCGGCCGGGUUUGUCUGUGUGCAACUGUGGAAUCUUUGUCGCUGAGAAAGUCUUUAGAAGACGGGAGCUCUUUUUAUGCCGACGAGACGUUAGCGAGCACCUCUGCUCGUCUUUGUAAUCUGGGCUUAUUGUAACGCCGGGUAUUCUUCGCACUUAGCCAAGUGCUGUGCCCGGCGAACACGCGCUCAGCCCGUGGGCUCUGAGCCGACGGUUCCGUCCCUCCUCAGCUCCAGGAAUGGGCCGUAGAGCCCUCUGUCUGCUUCGAUGCAAAAUCACUUAGUUCUGAAUAAACAGCCUUUGUUUUGGUAGUGCUGCUCUAGGGGCAGGAGCGUCCAGCAGAGGGAUGAAAACAAAACAGCCCACUCUGCCCGUGCCGGGCUUCUGAGCGAGCUUCGAUGCAGCCUCGGUUUGUUGAGUGAGGCUGCUUUCUUCCCUAUAUAUGUACACCUAUGAAGGCAUAUAUCUUAAGUGCACGCAGUGAUCAGUGCAGCCUUUUGUCCUGUGGUCCUCCCAGCAUCAGCACAAGGGGCUCAUUUGUUAAUGGUGGGUGCUGAAUGUGAGAUUCUCGAGGAAAACAUGGUUGCCGUUUUAAGGAAGAGCUGACGUGGAUGUAGUGUGCUAUCUUUUCUGUCUCUGACCGAAUACCACCUUUUCCCUCAGUAUGUUUGGCCCCCACGCUCUCCUUGUUCUGCACCUCAGUUAUCGGUAACUUCUGCAUCCCACUUAUCUGUCCAAAUUCCAGUUUUGGUACUGGGGAGCAGUGCAGCUCCUGAGCUGGAACACGGUGUGCUCUGAGGAGAACCGAACCACGUGCUUUCUGCCUGGGUCGAGAUCUGAAAGGUUGUAAUCUGGUCAAAAAACUGUAGUAGGCUGUGAUAGCGCUCUCUGGUAUCCAAGUUGGUGUCACGGUGUUAAUCCAGGCCAGGAGGGACCUCAGGUGUGCACAGCCCAGCCUGCCGCUCCACACACAGUAGCACUGCGUUCAGUUUUCUUCCUUCCCUUGGAGCUGAAACCCCCCAAAGACAAAGAUUCGGCUCUGUGCCCCUGCCCCAGGCUGCGGGCACCUGGCGGGGCUCAGCCUUUCCUUGAGGUCGGAUCACAACCUCUGCUGCUGCAGUUGGACCGCUGCUUUGUGUCCUCCUCCUGCGUGCAGCCCCAGCGCUCACACCUCCCCUCCCAUAGCGGUGCCUCUGACCUGAGUGCUUGGGGAGCCCCCACUGAACUCUCUCUGUCUUUGCUGUUCUGGGGCGUCAAAGCUGCUUCGUGGUGUUCCCGAUGGAGGUGAAAGGAAGGGUUGACUCCUCACCAUAGGGCCGUGCUCCUGCCGAUGGAGCCCAGCGUGCUGUUAACCCGCAUCACUGCCAGGGCGCACUGCUGACUCACGUUCAGCGUGCUGCCCACCGUUCAUGCUGCUUUGUUUGUGUGCACGUAUGCGUGCAUAUGGAGGCACAUUGUAUGCACGUGCACAUGGCCGUGCAGCUCCAAAGAGAGCCUCAGUCAUGCAUGCACUUGUGCAGAUGCACAUGCGUGCAUCAGACAGCAUGUUUUGCACCUCUUAACAGCAGCUUGACUGUCCUUCCCCCUGGAUUCCAGGUGGUGGUGGUGUGCGGGGGCGCAGCAGCCGGUCAUCCCUGGCUGUGCCUCCAGGACAGCCUGUGCUUUGGCUUUCUCAAAAUGGCAUUGUUUCAAAUGCUUCUGUGCGAUGUGAUCGGGUCACUGGGACAGGAGGAGGGAGUGGCUGUAUGAGUACCGAGCAGCAUCUCGUUCGACCAAGUGUGAAGCUGGAAUGGAAGCAUGUUGUGAUAGAGGUGUUUUCAAGUAAUGUUGUCCACAGGUAGGAAUUAAAUGGAAUGUAUUGCAGCGAGUAGCAGUGCUUCAAACGUCGUGCCUUUAAAGCAAGUGGCUCGUGCCUCCUUGUUCUGAGUAGUUAGUGCUGAUCGAUACUUCAGCUGCAGUAACCAGCUAAUGCUGGCGGCAUGCACAUGACAGUAGGGUCAGCACAUCUGAAGUUGAAACAAGUUCUGGAAAACCAGGCCAUUCUAUGAUUGUAGGAUAUGCCCUUUCCCUCCUGAGGAGGGGUAUUGCUGCAGCCCAACAGAUAGGGCUUUGUGUGCAAUCAGCACCCACACUGAGUAGGUGUGGUAGACAGUAUGAAUGGAGGGUUGUAGAGAGAUUUCUGUUAGGUCUGGC